Molecule: long non-coding RNA, 786 nt
Filed under: Salvator merianae (Argentine black and white tegu)
Lineage: Eukaryota; Metazoa; Chordata; Lepidosauria; Squamata; Teiidae
Description: lncRNA (ENSSMRG00000022052.1)
Source: RNAcentral
CUGCUUCCUGCAUACUUUGCAAAUGAGAGUAUGUGUCAGCACUUAACCCUGUAUCCCUCUUUCCCUUCUUUCCUUGAACCAGAAGCUUUGGAACCAGCACAGGAGAGCCCUCAGGCUCUGGGGCCCACUAGCCAAAAAGUUGUUCGAGAGGAAUCAUCAGGUUCCCAUCGUUAUCAUCUGAGAAGAGUUCCAGGAAGGAAGAAACAAAAGGUGGGGGGUUCUUCUUCAUCUGUUGCAGCACCCAGCCUGGGAUUUGCCAUCUUGCCAGGUCAGAACAGAUUGGAGCAGCAGUCCCAGAACAUUCUACAUUCUACUGAAGGGUGCUUGGAAGAGACAGAAGGGCAGGAGCAACUGCAGCACCAAGUAGAGGAGGUGGACACUGAGGAGGAGAGCCAUGGGGACAAUGUCUUGCUGCUUUCUCCAGGAGAAGGCAGAAGUGAAGCACAAAGUGGCCCUGCAAGUGACCGUGGUUUGGAGUACAGUGCAGGAAGAAAGGGAACCACCUCUGUUGAUGUGGGGACACAAACCACACCAAAUGAUUCUGACGUUGAAGCACUGGACGAAAUUCAGGCAGCAGACCUCCAGCACGAGAUGGCAAAAAUGCAUGAGCGAUAUGCCAACCGCAUUUCAUAUAAGGAGGAUUUGGAGCGACGGGUACGCCUUCUGGAGGAGUCCAAAGUAUUUCUGUGCUUCCCCUGGCAGCUCUUCCCACCAGUCCCUGAUCCCCCUUGCGAAUAGCACCCUACCCCCCCCAUUUGUUAAUAAACAGUUCUGUUUGCAUUCCUU